This 443-nucleotide ribosomal RNA is filed under the name Streptococcus mitis. RNAcentral's name for it is "bacterial SSU rRNA". It matches the Rfam family "Bacterial small subunit ribosomal RNA", at positions 28 to 461 of the family's 1533-position model. Lineage: Bacteria; Bacillati; Bacillota; Bacilli; Lactobacillales; Streptococcaceae. The record is from RNAcentral.
GACGAACGCUGGCGGCGUGCCUAAUACAUGCAAGUAGAACGCUGAAGGAGGAGCUUGCUUCUCUGGAUGAGUUGCGAACGGGUGAGUAACGCGUAGGUAACCUGCCUGGUAGCGGGGGAUAACUAUUGGAAACGAUAGCUAAUACCGCAUAAGAGUAGAUGUUGCAUGACAUUUGCUUAAAAGGUGCAAUUGCAUCACUACCAGAUGGACCUGCGUUGUAUUAGCUAGUUGGUGAGGUAACGGCUCACCAAGGCGACGAUACAUAGCCGACCUGAGAGGGUGAUCGGCCACACUGGGACUGAGACACGGCCCAGACUCCUACGGGAGGCAGCAGUAGGGAAUCUUCGGCAAUGGACGGAAGUCUGACCGAGCAACGCCGCGUGAGUGAAGAAGGUUUUCGGAUUCGUAAAAGCUCUGUUGUAAAGAGAAAGAAACGAAGUGUG